Long non-coding RNA from Crotalus tigris (Tiger rattlesnake), 322 nucleotides. RefSeq lists it as uncharacterized. The record is from RefSeq and is a predicted model, not a curated record. NCBI's taxonomy places the organism in Eukaryota, Metazoa, Chordata, Lepidosauria, Squamata, Viperidae. The transcript has 4 exons.
GGGAAGGGGCUUUAAUCAUGUAAAUCUGGCAGCCGUUGAAGCAAAGCAUUUCGCUUGGCUGCUUCCUUAAGGGCCCCUAUCCAGUGAGUUGCCUUUGUUUCCUUAGCCGACUGAAAGCCAGUUUAUCCCCGGCUUGGACUGAACCAGGAUGAAGACUUUUCUUUCAACAGUGCGACCUGAGUAAUGUAAGACAAUUCUGACUGGAAUUAAACUUACUUGAUGCUGAUGGCAAAUUCAGUUGCAUCUUUGAUUCUCUGCCGCACCAGCCCUGAAACCUUCUCCCAAGCCUUUGGAAGCAGAACACACAGACCCAGAUGCUGCC